This 354-nucleotide long non-coding RNA is filed under the name Setaria viridis. RNAcentral's name for it is "long non-coding RNA (SVIR_LNC008028)". The record is from RNAcentral. Lineage: Eukaryota; Viridiplantae; Streptophyta; Magnoliopsida; Poales; Poaceae.
AAUAGUUGAGGUGCGCAAAGGUUAAUUUCGUACCUCGUUGAUGGAGGAGGAAGAAGCCAUCAGAGCGUCUGAUUGGAGGCUCGGAAGAAUUUAGCAGAAGGGGAAUGUAUGAAUGUUACGCAAGUGCCUCUGGGAGGAUGCGAGGGGCUCGUAUUUAUAAGGCAACAAGCAACGGUUAGUAAAAGGAAGGCAUUCAAAACAAGUAACCGUUGAACCGAAAAAGCUGCGAAAACAGUCGUUUGGAUUCAUAUUCACAUGGAAACCGUGGAAGGCAUUAAUGUUUUACAAGACGUUCAAAGGGUAUUCGAGUUCAAUACAGUCAUCCAAGGAGGAAAUUCAUGGCCUUGAUCGCCC